ACUUGACGGCGCACGGUCGGGAGUGCUCGGGAGAAGUGCAUGAGCGAUCGGGAGGUGGAGAACCGCGGGCGCGCACCGCGAGGGGGCAGACAGUUUUACUCGCUACGUUGCGCCUCUGAACUCUCCACGGCUCGGGGCCGGCCUCGGCUUUUAACCGACUACUCUCUCGGCGUGUCGCGCAUAUUUUCGUACGCGGAGCGUCCGAGAGGAGAGAUAUCGGCGGGGGCGCGAGAGAGCGCGCGCGCGCGCGCUACGCCUUCGAUUAACAGCGUUGAUAAGCGAAAGAAGAGAGCGACGACACGCUACGUCACUCCGGCCGGCCGCGGCGCGCGAAUGUGACGUAGUCGGCCGCGCGCGCUGUCACUGGCGCUCGCCGCUGUCAAACGUCGCGCGCGUCCACUCCGUCGAUGAAUUACGCGCGCGUCUCCACUCCCGGCUGCUCUCCGUACCCCCGUCAACGGCUGACCGUUUCGUCGCGAAAUCGAAGGGAGAGGUACCCCGGGAAAUGGACUCCGAGAAGAGAAAGUCAUUAAGCAAUCAAACGUAAUUAGAUAUUACCGUAGGAUAAUUGUUAUUCUUUUUUUUUUUUUCUUCGAAUCGGAGGAAUGUCGACAACGCUCUAGAAAGGUUCUUCGGAUUGUGUAUGUGUGUGUUGUAUGUUCACACUACUACGUGUUGAGGUAAACACGCUCGAUAUAUUCCGACUCGUAUCUAAUCUGACGUUCGAUCGCGCCGUUUCGCGGGUAAUCCCCGAUCCGAGUCACGUGACCGCAUCGCGCCUCUACCUCGACUAUGCGACAACGAGAUGCUCGAUCCCCGCGGAUUCCUCGCGCACGAACAAAUCCAACACCGUGCGAGAGAGGACAGCAAACUUCCUUAUCGAUGGAUCAGCGGCCGUGCCCGGAACUGGGCUAGAGGGCCGAAGGAGAGAGACAGAGAGAGAGAGUCCCUCUCUCUCUCUCUCUCGCUCCAGUUGUCAGUGAUCCGCGAAGUGACCGAGGAACGUAAAUACGUACGUAUGAUAUACAAACCCGGCGAAGUCGCAGCCUACCAGUCCCCCGAUACGACCCGUUCACGAACGGACCCGGUGAAUCGAGAAGCGAGAGGAGGCUCUUCUCUCUUCUUCCUCUCUCCUUCUCUGUCUUUCUCGCGCGCGCGUCCGUUCACUUCGCUCCUCCCGAACGCGCUCGUGGAUGUUAACGUGCGCCGGGUAAACAGCAGCGGAGACGGUCGCGUCAAUGGACACGUCGUUGAACGGCAUCCUCUACUUUUAUUAAAAAAUGCGGUGCCUCGCAAACUAGGAAGAUUGUAAUAAUGGGGGACACGACAUGUCGCCCCCUCUUGCGGAAUCCAGUGAAAAUUAAGAAUUAUUUGCUUCGUGGUUCUCUCGGAGACCUGGCAGCAGCUUGAAUGCACUUCGGGAUCAAUGUGAGAGCAAAUAGCGAGAUAAACUAACGUAACAGGUAUGCUCAGACCGAAAAAUAACGGUUCGAAAUCUGACAAAGAAGGUACCAGACACUCGGAAAGUUGAACUCUAGUGUCUUCUAAAAAAAAAAAAAAGAACAGCUGUUUUAUAUAUCUAGCUGUAUAAUAUGCAAAACGUCAGAAAAGCGAUAAAAAAGUUUUGCUUCUUUUUAAUUGAUUCAUAAAGUUUCUCGGUUUCUCACUGUAGCUAUACUGAAUUAUGAUCAGGUCGGCGUGAAAUCGUGUAUUUUUUUUCUAUAGCACUAUAUUUGAGAUAAAUUAACAUAUUUUGUACAUUUUAUUUUUAAUAACAUCGAUUGAUAAAAUACGUCGAGGACUUUGAUAAAUAACGGUAUUCAUUCUAAAUUUCGAUUAACUGUUAUAAGACACAUUUUCACUAUAUAGAAAUGUAAGGAAUAAAAUAUCGAAAAUGCAAAUUUGAUUACAGAUAAAUUGAAUUAACAAUCAUUUAAUAAUGCGGAAUAAUAAAAAAAAAAAAAAAAAAAUUCCGAUUCCGAUAAUCAAAUAUCAUUUAUUUUUGAUAUGCGCAAAAACCACACGUAUUUAAAUGAAUAAUGUGUAAUGACAGAAAAAGCUACACAAUUUUUCUGACAUAAUUCUAAUUUAUCGCUACAGCGAGAAAAGCCUAAAAAAGCAUAUAUAGGAUACAUAUGUCGGUACUAUAUAUUUUCUAAUUAACAUUAGUAUGUAAAUAACGCUAUAUUAAUUCGCGUAUUUGAUAUCAAAUGCAAUUUGUCGAGUAUUACAUAAGCAUUAGUGUUACAUAAGAAUUUAAAAGACUACGCAUAUUCGCUGCUAAACCGAGAUACGUGUCAUUAUAAAAACAAGCUAGGUACGCAUUAACGGAUCCGAGUUCUCUCUUAAUUCGUCACACACUCGUAGCAACAUUAUUUAACGAUCUAAAAAAUGGCGACAUUCGCAUUUGCAUCCUCUCGGAAAUGCACCCUCGUGCUGAUUCCGCUCGUUACGUUCCUGUGAGAUACAUUGUGCGGACGCGUGCUUCGGCCUGUGCGAGGGCGUAUUAUGGCAAGAGAGAUGCAAAGUGGAGGGGAAAAGGAAGAGGGGAAGCAAACAGAGCGAGAGAGGGGGAAUAUACAAGAGGACGGCACACGGCAGAACGCACAUAACAGGUCGAGCGACCGAGCGGGUCUGACCUAGGAUGUGGUGUAUCGAUCAAAUUUACGAUUUUCUAAUAAAUUCGUACGAGGAGAGUAUAUAUCAUGUAAAUAUUUGAAAGAAAAAAAAAAAAAAAAACGAGUGAAAAAUAUUGUGACGUGUGCAGUCUCGUAUGUAUUCGUUUGUGUACGAAAAUUAUAAUCCCGCGGAAUAUAUAUAGUGGAUAAAAUGGAAGAGUAUCGUUUCGCGGGUGAAUGUUAAUUAAAGGGAGAGAUUAAUGAGGAGCGAUUUCUCUGAAUGGAUGUAAUUGAAGAUGUCUAUCUGGGUCGAAUAAGAAACGUAAUUUUUUAUCAUAAUCGAAGCGUCAAAAGAUUUCGAUUAUAGCGAGCAUAUACUAAACAGUUACUUGCGCAUCCAAUAAUUUUCGUAUUUUCGUCGACAAGUGUUGCGUAAUUGGUGAUGAACUUUUCGAUAAAACGCGCGACAGUAUUAUACGAUACCGCUAGUUCCUAAACAAUGUCCCUAUGUUAUUUGUAUCGCGAGUCUCUGAUUAGUGACACAUUCGCGACACUCCCGAGAGAAAGCGACGACGCCAUUCACGCAAAAAGUAACCAAUGAUAACGCCAUUUUAACGUCCUGCGGGGUCCAAGUCAUUGGACUUGUUUUCUCCAACGUUUUACGACCAUUUACAACGUUGCGACAAUGACAUUCGAUUUUCGCGGCAAUUCGCACCGUGACGUUCGACAUUACGUAGAGGCAUAAAAUAACACGUCAACGUCACGUGAAAACGAGUCUUAAAAAAAAAACUACAAGUGACUGUGUAACAGAAAUCUAUAUCGCGCGGAUAAUAAUAACUCUUACGCGAUAAAUUAUCACAGCGAUGUAAUUGGAGCGAAAGAUUUUAAUUAAAUACUAAAUAUGCACGUAAAAUAUGCAUUUUAAUUAUCGUAAUUUAAUUAUCAUCUCUUUACAUCCUCGGUUUUUCAUUAGAUAAACCGAAAGGGAGUUUCGUGAACGAUCAUUCAUAGCUCGUCAUCCAUCUGGCAUUUAAUCCGCAUUAAAUCGCUAAUGAUAAAUCUAUGUAGCGACUCGAUAAGCGCGCGAGAUGCGAGAUUCUCGAUAUUACGUGACGUCAGCGCGUGAAAUUCGCGAAGAGCGGGUCGCCAUUGCGCCGGCCGGUGGGUAGGUUUUCAACGACACAAUUGCAAAGAGCGACACAGAGUGGCACCCAGGAAUUUCUCUUUCCCACCCCCUUCCCUCGCCAUGUUUUUACACCGUGUUAUCGAUACGAGAUGUAGAGUCGAAGAACGAACCUGGCAGUUUUUCAAAGCCAAAGAACACGAGGGAACGUCGCGCAUCGACAACGAGAGGAGAUUCCUCUCUUCCUUUUCGGAAGUCUCUGGAGGAGAGAAGCCCCUUCUUGCCCUCCCUCCCCUUCCACCCCCCCUUCGGGCACAAGUUCCAUGGAAAAUGAGCGCGAUCGUUUCCGUAUGAUGGCGUUCACGUCGGUGUGUCGAAGACAAACGUCGGGUGUGAUUUCGCGAGUUUUAUGCCACCGUGGCAUAUCCAGGAGAUAUAUACAUAUUGUAAGAAAUUUUUCCCCUUUUCCCCACCGAACUGACUGGCGAACACGCGGGGAAAGCAUGACACCCGAUUAAUUGGUCGGUCGGCGCCCCGUUACGCGACCCAGGCCCGGAAUUCUGGGGGUAUUCUCCCGAUCGCGCGCUCGCUAGGCU
Molecule: long non-coding RNA, 4337 nt
Organism: Nylanderia fulva
Lineage: Eukaryota; Metazoa; Arthropoda; Insecta; Hymenoptera; Formicidae
Source: RefSeq, a predicted model, not a curated record